RNAcentral lists this ribosomal RNA (486 nucleotides) under uncultured bacterium. RNAcentral's name for it is "partial 16S ribosomal RNA". It matches the Rfam family "Bacterial small subunit ribosomal RNA", at positions 30 to 507 of the family's 1533-position model. The record is from RNAcentral.
AUUGAACGCUGGCGGCAUGCCUUACACAUGCAAGUCGAACGGCAGCACGGGUGCUUGCACCUGGUGGCGAGUGGCGAACGGGUGAGUAAUACAUCGGAACAUGUCCUGUAGUGGGGGAUAGCCCGGCGAAAGCCGGAUUAAUACCGCAUACGAUCUACGGAUGAAAGCGGGGGACCUUCGGGCCUCGCGCUAUAGGGUUGGCCGAUGGCUGAUUAGCUAGUUGGUGGGGUAUAGGCCUACCAAGGCGACGAUCAGUAGCUGGUCUGAGAGGACGACCAGCCACCCUGGGACUGAGAAAGGGCCCAGACUCCUACGGGAGGCAGCAGUGGGGAAUUUUGGACAAUGGGCGAAAGCCUGAUACAGCAAUGCCGCGUGUGUGAAGAAGGCCUUCGGGUUGUAAAGCACUUUUGUCCGGAAAGAAAUCCUUGGCCCUAAUACGGUCGGGGGAUGACGGUACCGGAAGAAUAAGCACCGGCUAACUACGUG